RNAcentral lists this long non-coding RNA (1788 nucleotides) under Paramuricea clavata. The record is from RNAcentral. Lineage: Eukaryota; Metazoa; Cnidaria; Anthozoa; Malacalcyonacea; Plexauridae.
UGUUUAUGCUGGACCAUAGUUAAUAUAAUGAGAGGGUUUGGAAGGCCGGCAAACUUCAAAGGAUAACGCCCCCUUUCGUGAGCUGAACUCGAUAGAGGGCAUCACGUGACAGUUAUAGUGCAUCAUGGCGUGAUUCUAUAAUACAAUUCCCUAUUGACAACUUAGAAAUCUUUAAUUUUCGCUCGUUAUACGAGGUUUGGGUGGAAUACAAGGUUUUAUCGCAAAUCUCCAUCGUAAGUGGCAACUUUUGAGACGUUUUUAUGUGUGAUAACCCAAAUUGCUGACGCUGUGUAUAGUAUCAAUUUCAAGUGAAGCGAAGUCAUACUGCUAAAGCCGUUCGAAAUGGUCGUUGAAAAUGCACGUUUAAGGUUUGGAAUCAUGGAAAUAGAUGAGGAAAUUGAUACUGAGCGUUUAGAAAGCUCUUGUUCACCUUUGAGGACGAUUUAGAGUAAACAACUGCGCUUCGCGAGAUGGACGUGGAUGAAGUUCAGAUUGAAGUUCAACAAGCGCUUGAAGAGGUAUGAAAUAUAAAAUUUAGACGAUGAUUUUUAUACAUAUAUUACUGUAAACAUAGAUAUUUACCUAAUGAAUAUUUUCCCUUUCAAUACAUCGUCUCUAGAUUGAAGGAAAGAAACAGUUUCCUUUCAGAUUUGCAGUUUCUGUGAGAAAGUUUGCAAAUCCAAAGGCGGCCUGACAAGACACCGCGACGCAGUAUGAAACAUGUUGCAGAAUUCGGUGAGGGAUCUUCUACAUUUCAAACAGUGAUAUUAGUAGAAAAAGUUGCCGAAUUAAUACGUGAUAUCGGUCCACACUUGGUUCAGUUGGUUGACGAAAAACUGUAUAACGUAUGCCCUACUUUAGUAUUUACUCUGUUUAACGCCAGGCGAUUUUACCUGUCAAGGGAAGCAUCUAAGAUAAUAUUUCUGUGCCACCAAAGGGCAGUCUCACUCUCAGAGCCAACCAAAUGUAAUUAGAAUAAUUAAUCAUAGAUUCUUGUUUGAAUUUUAGGAAGAAUUGUCUUUGUCACCUCAGGAGCUUGGACCAUUAUCAUAUUUGACUGGAUAUGUGAUAAGAUCUUUAUACCAGAGAAGCAAGAACUGUUAUAGGAGCAAUUCUUCCUGGAACAAAGAAGUCCAAGCCUCGAUGUCAUCAAUGCGACAGGACACAGAGGCCAAUAAAUACAUUUCAUCCUUGUUGAGGGGUGGACUUUGGUCACCACACUCAUGGAUUGUAAGCAUUGCAAGGUGUCAGAGUUAAUAUUUAAAACACACAUCAAAUAAAGACAAGGUUACUGUCUACCAGUAGACACAAUUGUGAAUGAAGUCCUAACUUCUCCUCUUGUGACAAACUUGUGGUGCAACAUUAUUCAAAACUGUGAUGUAGAAACUUCCAUGGAAUGUCAAUCUUUAUGUUUAGAGAAUGUUCAGUCAAAUUAUAUGUAACUGUAAGAUGUUUUCCUUUGCUAAGGAUAUUGUAAAUAAAUAUAAGAUAAGUCAGGGUACACAGAAAAAGAAAGCUUUAUGAAAAGACUUGAAGACAGGCACAGAUUUUUCGGGGGUGGGAACCCCCCCCAGAAAUGAUUUGCACCCUCCAGAGGCAUUUGGCACCGCCCCCAAAAGUCUUGGCACUCCCGCAAAUUAUAUAUAUUUUGAUUUGAUAGUUUCAUAUUUGAUUAUUCUUACUAAAUUUGUAAAAUUACCAAUAUUAUGGUCUCAGAUGAUCAGAUCUCACCAUGCAGGCCUAGAAAACAAAUUUUGUUAAACUUUUCCUUGGCCUUUCCGGGUGUUG